UACGUAGGGGGCAAGCGUCAUCCGGAUUUACUGGGUGUAAAGGGCGUGUAGGCGGGAAAGCAAGUCAGAUGUGAAAGCCACGGGCUCAACCUGUGGCCUGCAUUUGAAACUGUUUUUCUUGAGUACUGGAGAGGCAGACGGAAUUCCUAGUGUAGCGGUGAAAUGCGUAGAUAUUAGGAGGAACACCAGUGGCGAAGGCGGUCUGCUGGACAGCAACUGACGCUGAGGCGCGAAAGCGUGGGGAGCAAACAGG
This 253-nucleotide ribosomal RNA is filed under the name uncultured bacterium. RNAcentral's name for it is "partial 16S ribosomal RNA". It matches the Rfam family "Bacterial small subunit ribosomal RNA", at positions 524 to 776 of the family's 1533-position model. The record is from RNAcentral.